Molecule: ribosomal RNA, 494 nt
Filed under: uncultured bacterium
Lineage: Bacteria
Description: partial 16S ribosomal RNA
Rfam family: Bacterial small subunit ribosomal RNA
Source: RNAcentral
UGAACGCUGGCGGCGUGCCUAAUACAUGCAAGUCGAGCGACAGAUGAGGAGCUUGCUCCUCUGACGUUAGCGGCGGACGGGUGAGUAACACGUGGAUAACCUACCUAUAAGACUGGGAUAACUUCGGGAAACCGGAGCUAAUACCGGAUAAUAUAUUGAACCGCAUGGUUCAAUAGUGAAAGACGGUUUUGCUGUCACUUAUAGAUGGAUCCGCGCCGCAUUAGCUAGUUGGUAAGGUAACGGCUUACCAAGGCAACGAUGCGUAGCCGACCUGAGAGGGUGAUCGGCCACACUGGAACUGAGACACGGUCCAGACUCCUACGGGAGGCAGCAGUAGGGAAUCUUCCGCAAUGGGCGAAAGCUUGACGGAGCAACGCCGCGUGAGUGAUGAAGGUCUUCGGAUCGUAAAACUCUGUUAUUAGGGAAGAACAAAUGUGUAAGUAACUAUGCACGUCUUGACGGUACCUAAUCAGAAAGCCACGGCUAACUACGUG